Molecule: ribosomal RNA, 301 nt
Filed under: uncultured bacterium
Lineage: Bacteria
Description: partial 16S ribosomal RNA
Rfam family: Bacterial small subunit ribosomal RNA
Source: RNAcentral
CAGCAGCCGCGGGAACACGUAGGGUGCAAGCGUUAAUCGGAAUUACUGGGCGUAAAGCGUGCGCAGGCGGUUUGUUAAGACAGAUGUGAAAUCCCCGGGCUCAACCUGGGAACUGCAUUUGUGACUGGCAAGCUAGAGUCUGGCAGAGGGGGGUGGAAUUCCGCGUGUAGCAGCGAAAUGCGUAGAUAUGCGGAGGAACACCGAUGGCGAAGGCAGCCCCCUGGGCCAACACUGACGCUCAUGCACGAAAGCGUGGGGAGCAAACAGGAUUAGAUACCCCUGUAGUCCCUGUCUCUUAUAA